UUCAGACCCCAACGGCUCGCAGCCUCGGGGUUGGGAGUCCGGGCGGGGAAGGGGAGCGGUCUGAGGAAGGCGUCUUUGCCCUCCUCCGGGGUACCUCCCCUUGUUAAGAGCAAAUGUCGAGAAAAUGACUCGGACAUUCCUUUGCUGCAUUGUUUAGAAUUACAGAGAAGAAUGGAGAUUUGCUGAGAACAUUGCAGGGACUCUGCCUCCCAUGCUCUAGCCGGGAAACAAAAUGGUGCUCCAAAGGUAGAGAUUUCAGGUACAAUCUCAAGGACCUCAUCCACCUGGCUUCACAUGCCUGGAAAUAGCUCUUUCUCUACCUCCUCCUUGACUAAGGAGAGUCUCCAGCCUGAUUAUAAAUGGAACCUUACCAUUUCCCUGGCCUUGAAAGCUCCAGGUGGUGAAGAGGGAAACAGACACGUCUCUUAGAAGUAAGGCAGAGAGAGAACCAUCACCAGCCUUAUUCUUCAUAAACCACAUUCGGGCCUGUAGCAAACAGGGCUGGCUAGAGCAAACAGCCUGAGUCUGCUGUGAAAGCCUCAGCCCUGUCCUGUACCUCUCAUCUAAAGAAACACAAAAUGGAUCCAUAAUUCUUCCAUUUUCCUCCUUUCCCCAUUCAGGAUUAGUGGCUAUUGAUGAAAAUCAGGUCCCAAGCUGGCCAAACAAGGUCUGCCUUUUGCUGUAUCCUUGGCAGCACCCUAUGAAUCUUUCAGUAUCGAUUGUGAAUAUUAAAUAGAACUAUUAAGAUGAGCAAUCUCCCAGUGAACAGGAACAAGGGAAACUCUUGUGAUGCAGGGUACACGUGGGAGCCUGCCAGUGAUGCGGUGGGGUGCCAGGGCCUGCCUUCCCAGGGCCUGUCCUCAACAGAUGUCAGCACUUGUUUUUCCUCAGGAAGGAGAGAGUUGUCCCGGUGGUAAGAACAGAGUCUUGGGGAGCUCCACGGCUUGGACAGAUGAAAGGAAACCAGCCAGUCAGCAACAGAUGGAGACCAAAAUCAGAGUGCCUGAGAGGAGAGAGAAGAGGUUGUCAGCAUCACAUCCCACUUCCUCAGCUCAAAACCAGGGAUUCCUGAUCUUUCCUGACUCCUCUUUCCUGAUUGUGCCAGAGGACCACCAGUCACAGCUUCCCUUUAAUGGACUCCCUUCUGGGAAGAGAGGGUAAUGAGAAAUGGGAUGCAGCAAGGCCUUGUCUAGGCAGAUAUAUUCUUUUAUUGAUUAAUCAACAGAUAUUUUCUUAACAUCUAUUUCAUGCAUAGUGAAAAUAUUGUGCCCAAUACUGUGGAAAAUUGGAGAAAGUCAAAUAUAUGGUCCUUGGCCUUCAAAUGCUUAGUUUCUGUUACGGAGAAAGACUAAACAGGCGAGGUACGAUCCCUGUUGCACUGUGUGGGACAGUCAGAGAUGUCACUUCAUAAGGGCCCAGCAGCAGACUCAAAAACUUUCUAGAGAAAGCAAGCCAGUCCCAGAAAGCCUCUCUGGGACCUCAGUUUCCCCAUUUGUAACAUGAGCUGCUAUUCAGCUAUAGAAUGACUUCUCACUGAUCCACACCUCAAGGCUUCCAAGGAUCUGGAAAGAAGGAUCUGGCUCAGUAGAGGGCCCUGUGCAGAGGGGACCAGGUGAGCGUGACUCCCAUGGGGAGACGGCUGCUGAGAAUGCCAGGUGUGUUCCAGGGACUGAGGGUUGCACAGAAAGGGGGCAGGGAAGGGUGGCAGAACCCCUAAUGUCUUCUUGUCAUCUCCUAUCAUGGUAAGGGACAGAGCUGAACUGCUCUUCCCCGAACAUCCCCCCCCUAAAAUACAUAUACCUGGCUCUGGCACCCACCUUUCCUGGGUGUGUUCUUCCCUCCCUCCACUCCCCAAUUCCAGGCCCAUGAGUGAGGGCUAGGGCCUGUCUUUGGGGAGCAGAUCCCAACGGGCCCGCCUUACCCCGCCCCACUUUUCCCCCUCGGCAUACUGCCACGCUCCUUGCCUGUUGGGGCCCAUCCCAGUCUUUGCCCAGGGGCUUGGGAGCCCGUGCAGCAGCUGCAGCAACUGAUGAGCCCAGGCCUGUCUUGCUCCCACCCUCUGGCAGCUGGGCAAGGCUGUAGCCAAGGAAGAGGGCCCCUACUAGGGGCAAGAGUAGGAGGGUACAGUCAGGCUGGCAGUUCUGUCAGGGGAGGCAAUCUGACCCCCAGGAAGGGGAGGCCCCCACCUCUGGGGUCAAAAUGUGGCCUCCCCACAGGAGGGGAGAUCGGCCCCCAGACUGCAUGCCAGGGGGCCCUGUCAGAGCUGUUUCUUUGGGAAGCCUUGGUCAUUAUGGGAAGACAAGAGCAAACUGCUCAGGCAUGUCUACCUUACCUCCUCUAACCGGGCA
Long non-coding RNA from Equus caballus (horse), 2348 nucleotides. RefSeq lists it as uncharacterized. The record is from RefSeq and is a predicted model, not a curated record. NCBI's taxonomy places the organism in Eukaryota, Metazoa, Chordata, Mammalia, Perissodactyla, Equidae.